GCUCUCUAUGCUUCUCUCAUC
RNAcentral lists this microRNA (21 nucleotides) under Ananas comosus (pineapple). RNAcentral describes it as "aly-miR157d*". Lineage: Eukaryota; Viridiplantae; Streptophyta; Magnoliopsida; Poales; Bromeliaceae. The record is from RNAcentral.